CACGUAGGCGGAUAUUUAAGUCAGGGGUGAAAUCCCAGAGCUCAACUCUGGAACUGCCUUUGAUACUGGGUAUCUUGAGUAUGGAAGAGGUAAGUGGAAUUCCGAGUGUAGAGGUGAAACUCGUAGAUAUUCGGAGGAACACCAGUGGCGAAGGCGGCUUACUGGUCCAUUACUGACGCUGAGGUGCGAAAGCGGUGGGGAGCAAACA
RNAcentral lists this ribosomal RNA (208 nucleotides) under uncultured bacterium. RNAcentral describes it as "partial 16S ribosomal RNA". It matches the Rfam family "Bacterial small subunit ribosomal RNA", at positions 568 to 774 of the family's 1533-position model. The record is from RNAcentral.